RNAcentral lists this long non-coding RNA (621 nucleotides) under Homo sapiens (human). RNAcentral describes it as "non-protein coding lnc-SNRPN-8:148". Lineage: Eukaryota; Metazoa; Chordata; Mammalia; Primates; Hominidae. The record is from RNAcentral.
GCCUUGAGCAGCAUAGGUGAGCGGAUCCUGCUGGGCUCAUGGACCAGGCCACAUGGGGUCACUGAGGGUCAGCCUUCAGGACAGGAGGGAUUCCUCAGGGAGACAACCUGAAUCCCCACUGGUGAGGGAUUGGUGUCCCUCCGUUUGGGGUCCCUGACUUCCCUCAACACUGGUCUCUUCCACUGAGCCUUGUGAGCUCUUCCACCAAGGAGGGCCCCCUGGCAUUGACUGGCAUAGUGAGCUCUUCCCCCCAGCAGACCCCUGGGAUUGACGAGCAUAGAUGGUGACUGUGGAAGAAGACUUGCUUUGGGACCGCUGGCCCCAGGCCAGUGGUUGUCAUCCAGGUGCCCAGCCCUUGGUGCACUUGAGCUCAAGCCCUUCCUGGUGCCCUGGCCUCCUGCCCUAAGCUGUGCGAGCUCUUCUGCCCAGGGGGACCCCUGGCCUUAAGUGGGAUAGAUGGUGACCCCAGAGGAAGACGUGCAUUGGGUCCGCUGGCCCCAGGCCAGUGUCUCUCAGCCAUGUGCUCAACACCUGGUGAGCUGAAGCUCAGGCCCUUCCUGGCAUCCUGGUCUCCUGCACUGAGCUGUGGGUUCGGUGGCUGAGAGAGCUUUUGUUGCCCUG